GACGAGCGCUGGCGGCGUGCUUAACACAUGCAAGUCGAACGGAAAGGCCCUGCUUUUGUGGGGUGCUCGAGUGGCGAACGGGUGAGUAACACGUGAGUAACCUGCCCUUGACUUUGGGAUAACUUCAGGAAACUGGGGCUAAUACCGGAUAGGAGCUCCUGCUGCAUGGUGGGGGUUGGAAAGUUUCGGCGGUUGGGGAUGGACUCGCGGCUUAUCAGCUUGUUGGUGGGGUAGUGGCUUACCAAGGCUUUGACGGGUAGCCGGCCUGAGAGGGUGACCGGCCACAUUGGGACUGAGAUACGGCCCAGACUCCUACGGGAGGCAGCAGUGGGGAAUAUUGCACAAUGGGCGGAAGCCUGAUGCAGCAACGCCGCGUGCGGGAUGACGGCCUUCGGGUUGUAAACCGCUUUCGCCUGUGACGAAGCGUGAGUGACGGUAAUGGGUAAAGAUGCACCGGCUAACUACGUG
RNAcentral lists this ribosomal RNA (468 nucleotides) under uncultured bacterium. RNAcentral's name for it is "partial 16S ribosomal RNA". It matches the Rfam family "Bacterial small subunit ribosomal RNA", at positions 28 to 507 of the family's 1533-position model. The record is from RNAcentral.